This 1046-nucleotide ribosomal RNA is filed under the name Salinivibrio proteolyticus. RNAcentral's name for it is "bacterial SSU rRNA". It matches the Rfam family "Bacterial small subunit ribosomal RNA", at positions 36 to 1064 of the family's 1533-position model. Lineage: Bacteria; Pseudomonadati; Pseudomonadota; Gammaproteobacteria; Vibrionales; Vibrionaceae. The record is from RNAcentral.
CGUGCGGCAGCUACACAUGCAGUCGAGCGGAACGGCAGUAUUGAAGCUUCGGUGGAUUUACUGGACGUCGAGCGGCGGACGGGUGAGUAACGGCUGGGAACCUGCCCUGACGAGGGGGAUAACCGUUGGAAACGACGGCUAAUACCGCAUAAUGUCUACGGACCAAAGGUGGCCUCUACAUGUAAGCUAUCGCGUCGGGAUGGGCCCAGUUAGGAUUAGCUAGUUGGUAAGGUAAUGGCUUACCAAGGCGACGAUCCUUAGCUGGUUUGAGAGGAUGAUCAGCCACACUGGGACUGAGACACGGCCCAGACUCCUACGGGAGGCAGCAGUGGGGAAUAUUGCACAAUGGGGGAGACCCUGAUGCAGCCAUGCCGCGUGUGUGAAGAAGGCCUUCGGGUUGUAAAGCACUUUCAGCAGUGAGGAAGGUAGUGUACUUAAUACGUGCAUUGCUUGACGUUAGCUGCAGAAGAAGCACCGGCUAACUCCGUGCCAGCAGCCGCGGUAAUACGGAGGGUGCGAGCGUUAAUCGGAAUUACUGGGCGUAAAGCGCAUGCAGGCGGUUUGUUAAGUCAGAUGUGAAAGCCCGGGGCUCAACCUCGGAACCGCAUUUGAAACUGGCAGGCUAGAGUCUUGUAGAGGGGGGUAGAAUUUCAGGUGUAGCGGUGAAAUGCGUAGAGAUCUGAAGGAAUACCAGUGGCGAAGGCGGCCCCCUGGACAAAGACUGACGCUCAGAUGCGAAAGCGUGGGUAGCAAACAGGAUUAGAUACCCUGGUAGUCCACGCCGUAAACGAUGUCUACUUGGAGGCUGAGGUUUAAGACUUUGGCUUUCGGAGCUAACGCAUUAAGUAGACCGCCUGGGGAGUACGGCCGCAAGGUUAAAACUCAAAUGAAUUGACGGGGGCCCGCACAAGCGGUGGAGCAUGUGGUUUAAUUCGAUGCAACGCGAAGAACCUUACCUACUCUUGACAUCCAGCGAAUCCUUUAGAGAUAGAGGAGUGCCUUCGGGAGCGCUGAGACAGGUGCUGCAUGGCUGUCGUCAGCUCGUG